CCUACGGGGUGCAGCAGUGAGGAAUAUUGGUCAAUGGACGAGAGUCUGAACCAGCCAAGUAGCGUGAAGGAUGACUGCCCUAUGGGUUGUAAACUUCUUUUAUAUGGGAAUAAAACGUUCCACGUGUGGGAUUUUGUAUGUACCAUAUGAAUAAGGAUCGGCUAACUCCGUGCCAGCAGCCGCGGUAAUACGGAGGAUCCGAGCGUUAUCCGGAUUUAUUGGGUUUAAAGGGAGCGUAGGUGGAUUGUUAAGUCAGUUGUGAAAGUUUGCGGCGCAACCGUAAAAUUGCAGUUGAAACUGGCAGUCUUGAGUACAGUAGAGGUGGGCGGAAUUCGUGGUGUAGCGGUGAAAUGCUUAGAUAUCACGAAGAACUCCGAUUGCGAAGGCAGUUCACUGGACUGCAACUGACACUGAGGCUCGAAAGUGUGGGUAUCAAACAGGAUUAGAUACCCUUGUAGUC
RNAcentral lists this ribosomal RNA (460 nucleotides) under uncultured bacterium. RNAcentral describes it as "partial 16S ribosomal RNA". It matches the Rfam family "Bacterial small subunit ribosomal RNA", at positions 338 to 795 of the family's 1533-position model. The record is from RNAcentral.